UAAUGAGAGUUUGAUCCUGGCUCAGGACGAACGCUGGCGGCGUGCCUAAUACAUGCAAGUAGAACGCUGAUGUUUGGUGUUUACACUAGACUGAUGAGUUGCGAACGGGUGAGUAACGCGUAGGUAACCUGCCUCAUAGCGGGGGAUAACUAUUGGAAACGAUAGCUAAUACCGCAUAAGAGUGAUUAACACAUGUUAGUUAUUUAAAAGGAGCAAUUGCUUCACUGUGAGAUGGACCUGCGUUGUAUUAGCUAGUUGGUGAGGUAAAGGCUCACCAAGGCGACGAUACAUAGCCGACCUGAGAGGGUGAUCGGCCACACUGGGACUGAGACACGGCCCAGACUCCUACGGGAGGCAGCAGUAGGGAAUCUUCGGCAAUGGACGGAAGUCUGACCGAGCAACGCCGCGUGAGUGAAGAAGGUUUUCGGAUCGUAAAGCUCUGUUGUUAGAGAAGAACGUUGGUAGGAGUGGAAAAUCUACCAAGUGACGGUAACUAACCAGAAAGGGACGGCUAACUACGUGCCAGCAGCCGCGG
RNAcentral lists this ribosomal RNA (535 nucleotides) under Streptococcus agalactiae STIR-CD-27. RNAcentral's name for it is "bacterial SSU rRNA". It matches the Rfam family "Bacterial small subunit ribosomal RNA", at positions 1 to 520 of the family's 1533-position model. Lineage: Bacteria; Bacillati; Bacillota; Bacilli; Lactobacillales; Streptococcaceae. The record is from RNAcentral.